AGCAGCCGCGGUAAUUCCAGCUCCAAUAGCGUAUAUUAAAGUUGCUGCAGUUAAAAGCUCGUAGUUGAAUUUCGGGAUCAAUAUGUCGGUCGUGCCUCGGUACGCACUGGUUUAUUGGUUUCUCCCUUCUGACGAACCAUGAUGUCAUUAAUUUGGUGUCUUGGGAAAUCAGGACUGUUACUUUGAAAAAUUGAGUGUUUAAAGCAGGCUCACGCUUGAAUACAUUAGCAUGGAAUAAUGAAAUAGGACGUUUGAUUCUAUUUUGUUGGUUUCUAGGAUCGACGUAAUGAUUAAUAGGGAUAGUUGGGGGCAUUAGUAUCCAAUUGUCAGAGGUGAAAUUCUUGGAUUUAUUGAAGACUAACUACUGCGAAAGCAUUUGCCAAGGAUGUUUUCAUUAAUCA
RNAcentral lists this ribosomal RNA (401 nucleotides) under uncultured Glomeromycotina. RNAcentral's name for it is "SSU rRNA". It matches the Rfam family "Eukaryotic small subunit ribosomal RNA", at positions 569 to 979 of the family's 1831-position model. The record is from RNAcentral. Lineage: Eukaryota; Fungi; Glomeromycota.